GUUAGUUUCAGUCUGUUAUGGUGUUGCAAACAUAGAUAUAUUAACUAGAUGCCUCGUCCGCGCUGCUGGCCAAUGGAGUCGAACGUCACCACUAAAGGCCAUAUUACCACAGUAAGCUGCUCACCCAUAACAUUGUGUUGGUAGUGGUACACGUACUUUUUAAAUAACCAUAACUUCCUCAAUUUUCAACCGAUUUCCAAACGGUUUUGUUUGUUAUAAACGUGAUGUAGGCUAGUUAUGACUCUGCAUGCUUUUGAUAGAAUAAUGAAAAAUAGAAUAAUGUUCCAAAAUAGGUACAAUAUCAUAACCACGUUAAUAACGUUUGUAAUAAACCAAACCGUUCGUAAAUCGGUUGAAAAUUGAGCAAGUUAUGGUUAUUUUAAAAGUACAUGUACCACUACCAACACAAUUUUAUGGGUGAGCAGCACCUUACUGUGGUAAGAUUGCCGCCUAUGGUGACGUUCUAGACCAGCAUUAGGGCGAAAAGUGUAUUUUCCCCUCCGUUUUCCUUGGCUGCGAUUCAGAAAUAUCUCCGUAAAGAUGGACUCAUUGCGAAAACGCAUUGCUGGUACUCCCUUUUAAUGUACAGUUGGUAAUUACAUUUACCCAGGGGCUGUAUUAGAAGCUACAAAAAUAAGGUGUAGGAAAAGCAAGUCGAAUAAUGUUAUACUAGAUACCAUGGAUUGGUCACAAAUAUCAGUCUAGAAAUAGCUGAAAUGUUGUUUAUUACACUACAGGAUUAUUGCCUUUAUUACAACUGAGUUGAAAGACUGAAAGUCUUGUUUUAUGGUUAAAUCUCGCUUAACUUAAAUUAAGGAAUUUGUCAUUUUUAUACAAUGGUAUUUCUAAUGAUGUUUUUCUUGUUUAUGUUCACAGCAAAACUUAAACAAUGGCAAAGGGAGGUUUAAAAAAGGCAUGCGCUGCAUGUCAGGUCCCCAUUUAUAAUGGGUUUAAAAUAUGCCCCACGUGCAAGGAACCACAGCCGCAAAAAAUUAGGCUAAAAAAAAAACUGGACAAGUUUCUAAAUCAGAAAGAUGCAUGGGUGGCCAACACCAAACGUAAUCAGGUCACCUCACAUCUUUUCGAUGAUGCUGUCAUUCUGGUAAGUAACAUUACCAUAGUACUAAUGUUAGGUUAAGAAUGUGGCGUCAACAUCAGCUCUUCUAUAAGUAAAAGUGUGCCUCUGAGUUGCUAUUGAAACGUAAUGCUGUGGAGCUUGUGUCUCCAUAUAUCUCUGGCACAAUUUAUUAUUGUUUUUAAAGUUUUCUCUAUUUUUUUAGGUUGAGAAGAUGAAUGCAUUGGGCUGGAGGCCCAUCCUCCUUCUUGAAUAUCCCAAGAAGGAGGCAAAGAUGGUCCUCCCAGAGGGGCUUAUUUCUGGUGUUGGUGAACAGAAAUGUUUGGAUAACAUAAAAUAAAUUUACAGCCUAAUUGUAGAAGGAAAGAAAGUGCCAUCAGAUCCUGCCACAAGUAUGCCACAGGGUCAAGGAGAGGCCAUUUAUAUUUUAAAUUUCGAGCCCGAAGACCCAAUGCAAAUACAAGAGACUCUCCAUUCAGCCACCCCUACCACCACCACCAACGAGGGGUUAGAGCUGUGUUCAGCUAGUGUUGAACCUGAGACAGGUAACCCAAAAAAUCUUCAAUGAAAAGACCAUAAUUCGGAGUGCUUAGCUUAAUUAUUGCUGUUCAAAUUUGUUGUGCCAUAUUUCAAUUUUUUUGUAGAAUUUCCUUGAGCAGCCACACAUACGGUAUAUAUCUGACCUGCUUGCUUAUUUUAUAUUCUGUGUGUACACCUUUAGUGGAGACUGUCCUGAUGACAAGCGCUGCCACUGCCACCGCCACCGAGGAGGGCACAGAGCCAAAAAAGAGAAAAGGAUUCCCAAGGACAAGAGGUGUACCUAAUCAACACAAAGCUGAUAUUCUGCCAUCUUUCACAUUAUCCCUCCUAAGUUAAAUAUUUAAUUUGUUUUGCAUGUCUUCUUUCUGAAAUGAACAUAAUCGAUUAAGUUCAUUUCCAUGCGCAAUGUCACACAUACCCUUCUCUCUUUAUGGAGUUACAAGUUACAACAAAUACAUCUAAUCUCUAGACUGUUGAACUUGUGCUAUAUUUCACUUUUUUUGUAGAAUUUCCUUUAGCAGCCACACAUACGGUGUAUAUCUGACCUGCUUGCUUAUUUUAUAUUCUGUCUGUACACCUUUAGUGGAGACUGUCCUGAUGACAAGCGCUGCCACUGCCACCGACAAGGGUACACAGCCCAAAAAGAGAGAAAGAGUCCCAAGGACAUACCGGUACAACAAAUACAUCUAAUCUGUAGACUAUUAUAUGAUAAAUUACAUGGUAUGCUUGUUAUUUGAUUUCUGCAUGUAUGUUAACAUUUGGAUUAACAUACCACUAUUUGCUUGUGUCAAACAGUUUCUAAAAAAGAAAAGGAUUGCCCCGACAACAGCCAGAAGCUGCACCGCGGGAAAAUCUGGCUGCCAACCUGGGAGGCUGCUUGAUAGACAAAUUCACUCACUCACUCUGAUUACAUAAGUUAAACUAAUG
Long non-coding RNA from Gadus macrocephalus (Pacific cod), 2542 nucleotides. RefSeq lists it as uncharacterized. The transcript is spliced from 4 exons. The record is from RefSeq and is a predicted model, not a curated record. Lineage: Eukaryota; Metazoa; Chordata; Actinopteri; Gadiformes; Gadidae.